RNAcentral lists this ribosomal RNA (292 nucleotides) under uncultured bacterium. Its description in RNAcentral is "partial 16S ribosomal RNA". It matches the Rfam family "Bacterial small subunit ribosomal RNA", at positions 505 to 796 of the family's 1533-position model. The record is from RNAcentral.
GUGCCAGCCGCCGCGGUAAUACGGAGGGUGCAAGCGUUGUCCGGAUUUAUUGGGUUUAAAGGGUGCGUAGGCGGAUCUUUAAGUCAGUGGUGAAAGCCUGCAGCUUAACUGUAGAAUUGCCAUUGAUACUGGAGGUCUUGAGUACACUAGAGGUAGGCGGAAUUUAUGGUGUAGCGGUGAAAUGCAUAGAUACCAUAAAGAACACCUAUAGCGUAGGCAGCUUACUGGAGUGUAACUGACGCUGAGGCACGAAAGCAUGGGUAGCGAACAGGAUUAGAAACCCCAGUAGUCC